This 1368-nucleotide long non-coding RNA is filed under the name Capra hircus (goat). RNAcentral's name for it is "lncRNA (ENSCHIG00010007348.1)". Lineage: Eukaryota; Metazoa; Chordata; Mammalia; Artiodactyla; Bovidae. The record is from RNAcentral.
AACAGGCCCUGGGAGGUAGGGCGAGGGGACCCCUGCAUCCCGCGUAGCCGCUGUCGCACAGGGUCGCCCUCAGACCGCCGCACAGCCCGCAAGCACAGCUGCAGGCUCCUCCGGACCACAGGCAGCACCCCGAGUCACCGUGGUUGGCUUUGGGUGGGGAAGGGUGCAUGCCACGUGCUGCGGUUGGGUGGAGCCCACCCAAGGGGCACUGGGGAAGUCUCACUGGUCAGAUCUGGGGGCCCCACGGGGACUUUGCCUCUGGCGAGCAGGGGUGCAGGAGGCCACAGGCUGGCCACGGCAGCCAGAGAAGGGGUAAGAGACGGAGCUGGGCCUGGGGCAGCCAGCAAGGGCUUCAAGGCAUCACCAGGGAAGGGCCAGGAGCAUGCACAGGGCCCAGGGCUGGCUGGGCACAGGGGGUCAGGGCCGGCUGGGCACAGGGGGUCAGGGCCAGCUGGGCACAGGGGUUCAGGGUCGGCUUGGCAUAGGGAGUCAGGGCCGGCUGGGCACAGGGGGCCAGGGCUGGCUGGGCACAGGGUUCAGGGCCAGCUUGGCGCAAGGAUAAGGGAAAAGGCUCUGAAUAGCUCAUGGGCACCCACAGCCGCAGUGCUCUCCCAUGUGUGUGUUGGGGGAAGGAGCCCCCGCUGACUGUUUUGAAAGGAGCCCUGUGGCUUGGCUCAAGGCUGCCACCACAGCCAGGAGAGGCACCUCACAGUGAGCUGAGCCCCUGGCCCAGGAGGUGGGCAGGGCUGUGGACUUCAGUCCACACUGACAGAGAUGUGUCCUGACAUAGCGGUCUGGUCAGCCUGGCCCCGGGGCCAGCCCUGUGCACCCAGCUCCCCGGUGGGUGCCAGCCGCGAGAGCCCUCGUGACGGGCGCCGGCCGACUCUGCGGUCCGAGGCGUCUUCCUGUGCGUCAGCCCCACCUUGGGCCACGGUGGCCUCCGUGGGCCCCACCCUGACCUGAUGCCUUUCACAGCCGGGUGUGGGUCAUGUGCUGCAGGGCAAGCCCACCUCUUGGCAGGGGUGACAGGCCUCUUUUCACCAGAGGCAGGGUGCCACGGGGCUUGGCACUAGGAGCUAGGGGCAGGAUGGAGGCCCUAGGGCCCCCGUGCCCCGGACCGGGGCCCCACAGUGGGCCACGUCUCCCCCGGACUCAAGAGGAAAGCUGUCUGGGUGUGGCCCGGGGCCACAUUUCCAGGCUCUGCGGUCAUGGAUGGGCUGCAGGUUGAGUCUAAUUAUAACGAUUACGUCACGGGACGUGAUCCAGGCGCAGGCGGCUCUCUGCUCCCCCCAGCCAGCCCCUGGCUGCUACAGAUAAUUAAUUAGGCGGCUAAUUCAGGCCCUGAGGUGGGCUUGGAAGAAUACCGAA